Molecule: transfer RNA, 72 nt
Filed under: Capra hircus (goat)
Lineage: Eukaryota; Metazoa; Chordata; Mammalia; Artiodactyla; Bovidae
Also listed under: 2 other names
Rfam family: tRNA
About the family: Transfer RNA (tRNA) molecules are approximately 80 nucleotides in length. Their secondary structure includes four short double-helical elements and three loops (D, anti-codon, and T loops).
Source: Rfam by way of RNAcentral
UCCCUGGUGACUCAGAUGGUAUAGAAUCUGCCUGCAAUGCAGAAAAUCCAGGUUUGAUCCCUGGGUUGGGAA